AGAGUUUGAUCCUGGCUCAGGAUGAACGCUGGCGGCGCGGAUAAGGCAUGCAAGUCAAACGCUGAGUACAUAAGCAAUUAUGUGCUCGGAGUGGCAGAUGGGUUAGCAACACGUAGAUACUUACCCUGUACACGGGCAUAAUCCCGCGAAAGCGGGACUAAUUCCCGAUGGUCUCCUCUUUUCCUUUUUGUUUCACAAAAAGCUUCAGAUGGACAAAGCCGCAAGGCUGCGUCCUCCGUGGCUCUGAGUGGAGCGAAGAGCGAAGGAGGAGUAAAGGAGAAAUCCAGUACAGGAAAGGUCUGCGGCCUAUCAGCUAGUUGGUAGGGUAAUGGCCUACCAAGGCAAUGACGGGUAGGCGAAGUGAGAGCUUGUUCGCCAACAGGGGUACUGAGAUACGGACCCCACUCCUACGGGAGGCAGCAGUCGAGAAUAUUCGGCAAUGGGCGAAAGCCUGACCGAGCGACGCCGCGUGCUCGAAGAAGCCCUUCGGGGUGUAAAGAGCUUUUCUGGAGGAUGAAUUCCGCUUCUAGCGGAAUGACAGUACUCUAGGAAUAAUGGGGUGCUAAUCACGUGCCAGCAGCCGCGGUAAUACGUGACCCCAAAGCGUUAUCCGGAUUUAUUGGGCGUAAAGAGUCUGUAGGCGUCCCAUCAGGUUUCCUGUUAAAUACCUAGGGCUCAACCUUAGGGGUGCAGGAAAAACCGAUGGGAUUUGAGGGCGUUAGAGGCUAGUGGAACGGUCGGUGUAGGGGUGAAAUCCGUUGAUAUCGACCGGAACCCUAAAAGCGAAGGCAUCCAGCUGGGGCGACCCUGACGCUGAGAGACGAAAGCGUAGGUAGCGAAAAGGAUUAGAUACCCUUGUAGUCUACGCUGUAAACGAUGGACACUAGCUAUUUGUAGUGUCGACCCUAUGAGUGGCGAAGUUAACGCAUUAAGUGUCCCGCCUGGGAAGUACGGCGGCAACGCUAAAACUCAAAGGAAUAGACGGGGAUUUACACAAGCGGUGGACCAUGUGGCUCAAUUCGACAACAAACGAGGAACCUUACCAGGGCUUGACAUCCUACUGAAAGUUCGCCGAAAGGCGGAUCUACCCACAAGGACAGUAGGACAGGUGCUGCAUGGUUGUCGUCAGCUCGUAUCUUGAGACGUACGCUUAAGUGCGGUAACGAGCGCAACCCCUAUCCUGCGUUAUAAGUGUCGCGGGAAACUGCCUGGGAUAACCAGGAGGAAGGUGGGGAUGACGCCAAAUCAGCAUGGCCCUUUGACGCCCUGGGCUGCACACGUGGUACAAUGGGGCUGACAAUGGGUUGCAAAACGGCAACGUGGAGCUAAUCCCAUCAAACGGCCUCCAAGUUCGGAUUGAGGUCUGCAACCUGACCUCAUGAAGCCGGAAUCGCUAGUAAUCGCACAUCAGCUAUGGUGCGAUGAAUCCGUUCCUAAAUCUUGUACUCACCGCCCGUCACAUUAGGGGAGCCGGCAGUAGCCGAAAUUCCGAGCAAUCGGACCUAAGCUAAGGUCGGUGACAAGAAUGAAGUCGUAACAAGGUAAC
Molecule: ribosomal RNA, 1546 nt
Filed under: uncultured bacterium
Lineage: Bacteria
Description: bacterial SSU rRNA
Rfam family: Bacterial small subunit ribosomal RNA
Source: RNAcentral